CCCAGGUCCAGUCUUGUGCCCCUCCGCCCCAGGUCCAGUCUUGUGCCCCUCCGCCCCAGGUCCAGUCUUGUGCCCCUCCGCCCCAGUCUUGUACCCCUAGCCCCUCUGCCCCAGGUCCAGUCUUGUGCCCCUCCGCCCCAGGUCCAGUCUUGUGCCCCUCCGCCCCAGGUCCAGUCUUGUGCCCCUCCGCCCCAGGUCCAGUCUUGUGCCCCUCCGCCCCAGGUCCAGUCUUGUGCCCCUAGCCCCUCCGCCCCCAGGUCCAGUCUUGUACCCCUAGCCCCUCCGCCCCAGGUCCAGUCUUGUACCCCUAGCCCCUCCGCCCCAGGUCCAGUCCUGUACCCCUAGCCCCUCCACCCCAGGUCCAGUCCUGUGCCCCUACCCCAGGUCCAGUCCUGUACCCCUAGCCCCUCCACCCCAGGUCCAGUCCUGUGCCCCUCCACCCCAGGUCCAGUCCUGUACCCCUAGCCCCUCCACCCCAGGUCCAGUCCUGUACCCCUAGCCCCUCCGCCCCCAGGUCCAGUCCUGUGCCCCUCCGCCCCAGGUCCAGUCCUGUGCCCCUCCGCCCCAGGUCCAGUCCUGUGCCCCUCCGCCCCAGGUCCAGUCUUGUGCCCCUAGCCCCUCCGCCCCAGGUCCAGUCUUGUACCCCUAGCCCCUCCGCCCCAGGUCCAGUCUUGUGCCCCAGGUCCAGUCUUGUGCCCCUAGCCCCUCCGCCCCAGUCUUGUGCCCCUAGCCCCUCCGCCCCAGGUCCAGUCUUGUGCCCCAGGUCCAGUCUUGUGCCCCUAGCCCCUCCGCCCCAGGUCCAGUCCUGUGCCCCAGGUCCAGUCCUGUGCCCCUCCGCCCCAGGCCCAGUCCUGUGCCCCUCCGCCCCAGGCCCAGUCCUGUGCCCCUCCGCCCCAGGCCCAGUCCUGUGCCCCUCCGCCCCAGGCCCAGUCCUGUGCCCCUCCGCCCCAGGCCCAGUCCUGUGCCCCUCCGCCCCAGGUCCCAGUCCUGUGACCCUCCACCCCAGGCCC
This 1010-nucleotide long non-coding RNA is filed under the name Salmo salar (Atlantic salmon). RNAcentral describes it as "lncRNA (ENSSSAG00000105614.1)". Lineage: Eukaryota; Metazoa; Chordata; Actinopteri; Salmoniformes; Salmonidae. The record is from RNAcentral.